CCCUUAACCUCUUCUUACACACCGCCUCUUUGUUCUCUAUUUCUCUCCCUCAUCUCUCUUCUCUACCCUUUCAACCUCUGAUUUGUUUUUGUUCAUGGCAAAACAUACAACUCUACAGUAAAGGGCAAUUUUCCUUUGGGAUGUGUUACUCCAUAGAAUUGAUUUCUAUUUUUCAUUUAUAACUGCAAAAUGUUCUCCAUUAUCGACUGCAUGAGAGAGGAAGUCAUAUACUGAGAUUUACUUUAGACUAUUGGUCAACUGUGAAGUCCUUUUAUUUCCCUUUUUCCAAUCCUUCCAAAAUCAGAUUUUUUGCACUGUGAAGUCGUUUGCUCCUUUUGUUAUUAUUAUUAUUUUUUUUGUUUCUCUUAAAAAUAUAGAUCAUAAUGGUGUCAUGUCCACCAGGAGGUUCUUUGACUUAUUUUAACAUGGUUUUUUUUAACAUAUGUUCUACUGUGUUUGUCAGGCUGAAGAGCUUGCCGCUGGACGAGAUGGUCAAUCACGUAGCCACUGAAUCAUCAUCACCAACAUUGAUCGUUCGUGCUAAUUUUUCUAUUAUAUACUAUCCUUUGUGUAAGUUCCUCGAUAAAACCCUAAACCUCUUCUUACACACCGCUAAAAUUAUUGAACAAAGAGGAAUUCAAUAAUUUUGGUGUUUCUCAAGAACUCCUUGGUAAGAUCACCUUGAAUCCUCAAUCUUCCUUAUCUUCUUCCUUUUUUGUUGCUGUUGUCCUAAUCUAUUUGCUUAUAAUUAAUUUGUGGUUUUUGUUUCCAUAGUUUUUGAACAUUCUUGAAUUAGGACGAAAUCAAGAUGACUUUGAGGCUGAAGGAUUGAUUUGGGGUUUUUAUUAGUUUUGGGAUUUUGGGGUUCCUAAUUAGGGUUUGCUGCAAUUAUAGAUUUCAAUUGCUAAUAUGUUUCCUCUUUGUUCUUUUUUGUUUUUCCCAGGGGAACACCAUAGAAGAUCAAAUUCUACCUAUGCUUUGUCUCUUUGUGUUUUGAGGUUUUAAUUUAAUUUAGGAUUUCAUCCCGAACCUGUUCUCUUUAUUUAUUUGUUAGUAGGAGUGAAAUUGUGGUUUUUGGGUCCAAUUUAGCACUUUGGUUUACUAAUUUGUGUUUUUUUAAUUCAAAACUUCUGAAUAAGGUUUUAAAUAUAUUUUGGGUUCUAUUUGUUGUUAUCCAUAUAAUUGUAGACAAGCUAUGAGUCUUCCAUGUUUGAAAGACUUAAUCUUCAUCAAAAUAUAUGAACACUAACAAAAAUAUUUUUAAUUUUACAUUUCGUAGGAUUUAGUUUUCUGUAUUUUGGUUGGUUGGUUUUGAUUUAAUUUAUUGGGUAUCAAACCUGUGAAGAAGUUUGGAGAGCAAGCUUGAUCAGCUUUGUGGAGGCUCUUUGUGUUCUAAACCUGCUUGUAUGUUAGUAAGAGCAAAGUAGAUGGUGAGGUCUUGGGUUCAAGAUCCAGCCAAUGUAUGUGUAUCUUACUUAUAAAAAAAAAUGUAGGUUAGCUCAGUCUUUAGGCUUAUCAUAGCAAUUUCUGUUGUAAUUUUGUACAAUAUAAGCUCUGUUCCAUUUCAAUUCCUUUUAUACAUUGUAUAGUUUCUUCUUAUAGUGUUAUAGUUUUUUCAAUGAUAUGAUUGUGAUUUAAAAUGGUAUGGAGAGCUGCAAAGAUAUGUUUGAUCUAAAUUCCAAAAGGAGCAGCCAGGAGCAGCUAUGCUAAUUGUUACUCCCUAUAAGAUGCAUUUAGAUUUUAUUUAUUUUGCCACUUCCCUUAUUGUUAUAUCACUGAAUUAUCCUCUAGACUUAUUAUAUUUGUAAAUGCUCUUGAUGAAUUUUUUUCAUAUUAGGGAAGUUAUUAAUUAUCUCUAAUUUGUUUUAAUUGGAACUCUUACAAUACAAAUAUGUAAGUACAUAUAUGUAAUUGCAGGUACAGAGCUACAGCCAUGCUUAGCAUGCCAUCAACCUCAUUGAAAUUUAUGUUGCAUAAAGGAUAUAAGAAAGUUGUGUUGUUUUCACCUUGCAAUGGCAAAGACAAGAUUUAGCAAAAUAAGUACAUGAGCAUCCAAAGUUUUAUUCAGCAAAAAUAUAAUCAGGAUGAGAUUUUGAUUGGUUUCUCAUGUCAGGUGGUUUCUUUUACCCAAAUUUGUGUUGUGGACUUUUAUUAUUGCCCAUAAUCCAUCCUAUGAUCCUUGCUUGACACUUGAGGUUAGAAGAAAAGGAGAGAGCCCCCCUUUUUAAAUUUUUUUUUUUAUUCCAUAGCUAUUUUCAACCAGACAAGACUUGGUUUUGGGGCAUUAAUUGUAAGGCCAUGAAAGUUCUUAAAUUGAAGGAUUUACAUUGGCAACUGCUUAUUCUUAACUUAAAUUUGUUAAGAUU
Quercus robur (English oak) is the source of this 2366-nucleotide long non-coding RNA. RefSeq lists it as uncharacterized. The transcript is spliced from 3 exons. NCBI's taxonomy places the organism in Eukaryota, Viridiplantae, Streptophyta, Magnoliopsida, Fagales, Fagaceae. The record is from RefSeq and is a predicted model, not a curated record.